RNAcentral lists this ribosomal RNA (19 nucleotides) under Meloidogyne chitwoodi. RNAcentral describes it as "partial 28S ribosomal RNA". The record is from RNAcentral. Lineage: Eukaryota; Metazoa; Nematoda; Chromadorea; Rhabditida; Meloidogynidae.
AACUUGUUUUAUUUUUUGA